GAAAGAACUCCUAUCAUUUCUUAUUCUUCUACAUCAAAGCUCCUCCCUCGCACCUCUCGUUCCAAAAAUUAUUAGGUGGAACCCAUGGAAAUAGACAUGCUUGAGACUAUGAGAAUUAUGCAGAAUCAACAAUGGAAAGCUUUUGAUGUCUCUAAAAUGCUGAAGAGCAGGCCCGAGAACCAAGUUCCCAUGUGUGAGGCUCCCAGCACUUCUACUGAGCAAGGGAAUACGUCUGGUAAAGCAAUGCUCAAGGACAAAGUGGUUCCGACAGAAAAACCUCCUGAUGAAAGUACGAAGAAUUUGAGAGGCACCCAGAAGGAAAAAGAGCGGAUGUCUCCAGAAAGAAGUGGUAAUGCUAGAAAGUUCGCAGAGACUCCUGCGCAAAACUUUGUGGAAUAAUUUGAGAACUCUGGAAUUCGAUAUCAGUUUAUCUUGGUGCCUAUUGGGAGACUUUAAUUCUCUGAUGCAUGAUUAUGAAAGCAAAGGUGGCGCCAUGGGGCAGUACUGCAGUAUCAUAGAGCGUGUUCUGAUUUUAAGGAUUGCAUUUCUGAAUGUAGGUUACUGGAUCUGGGUUAUGUUGGAUAGCCUUUUACCUAGAAAAGGAGAGACCUUGUGGAGAGACUAGAUAGAGGCCUCUGUAAUUUGAAUUGGAAAAUUGUCUUUUCUAAAGCUAGAAUCUAACACCUCUCUAUGCUAAAAUUUGAUCACACUCCCCUCCUUCUGACCUUUGCUCCUACUCUUGCACCUAAUAGAGGUACAUACCUUUUAGAUUUGUGGCAGCCUAGUUAAAUCAUUCUAACUUUGAAGAUUUUCUUAGCAAUAAUUAAGAGUACAAGGACUUUUGGAAAACUGUAUUUAUAACUUCCAAAAAGCUCUAAGGGUUUGGAAUCACGACGUGUUCAAGAAUAUUCAUUUUAGGAAGAACCGCAUCUUAAGGAGACUUCAUGAGAUCACUAAUAGUCUCAAUACCAGUAGUAAUAAAUUUUUAGAGAAACUACAAAUAAAUUUGUGAAAAGAGUAUCAGAAAAUUCUGGAGCAAGAAGAGUUGCUUUGGUUCCAAAAAUCUAGAUACAAAUGGAUUGAAUUUGGAGAAAAAAAUACCAAAACACUUUCACGGUAAAACUACAACUAGAAGAAGAAGAAAUAAAAUUGAAACUCUUCAAGAUGAGCAUGGUAACUGCUGGAUUUUGGAAAAGAUGGCUCUUGAGGUAAUGGCCACUAAUUGUUAUACAAAUUUAUAUAAAAAUGAUAUGCCAAAUGUUCCCUUUAUCCUCAAAGAUGUGUUUUCUUCACUUAGUCAUUCUGAGCUUGUUGUCUUCAAUACCUCCAUUGAAAAAAUCAGAGAAUUGUUGUUUAGCAUGGGGCCCUUAAAUCCCCGAGUAAAGAUGGUAUCCAAGCAGAUUUCUAUCAAAGUAAGUAGGAAAGAGAGGGGGCUGACCUCUGCAAUUUGAUUAAAGGUAUUUUUGUGACUCCCUAAAAAGUGGAAGAGAUUAGUAAAACUCUUAUUACUCUUAUCUCGAAAGUAGAAUCAGUUACCUCCCUGAAGAAAAUGCGGUCGAUUAGUCUGUGUAAAGUUUCUUACAAGAUUAUUAAGAAAAUCUUGUCUAGAAGACUAAGGAGGGUGAUGGAAAAGUUAGUAGUUCCCAAUCAAUGCAGCUUUGUUUUGGGUCGUCAUGGUUCAGAUAAUAUUAUCAUAUCCCAAGAGGACAUUCACUCAAUGAGAAAUAAGAAAGGAAAAAAAGGGAUGGAUGGCGAUCAAGAUUAAUCUUGAAAAGCGUAUGAUUGAUUGAAAUGGAGUUUUAUCAAAGACACUUUGGAGGAUAUUAGCCUUCCCCAACACUUUAUCCAUCUAGUCUAUACUAGUAUCACUACUGCAAGGAUGAGGGUCUUGUGGAAUGAAAAAGUUUUGGAUGAAUUUUUUUCCUCUAGAGGCAUUUGUCAAGGAGACCCUAUCUCCCCCUAUAUCUUUGUGCUAUGCAUGGAGCGGCUAUCUCAACUUAUUAAUGUGACUAUUGAACACAAUCUUUAAAAACUGAUUCACUUAACCAGUGGUGGUCCUAACUUCUCUCACUUAUGCUUUGCCGAUGACCUUAUCCUUUUCUCCGAGGUUAGUAUGGAACAAGCUGAGAUGAUAAGCAAUGUGUUAAAAGAUUUUUGUGUUAGUUCUAAGCAGCGAGUCAAUAAUGAAAAGACCAAAAUCUAUUUUUAUAAUAAUGUGUAUCAUCAUAAUGUUUUCGUACUGAGAUUAGUAAAGACUUUCAAUUCGCUGGAACAGAAAAUUUGGGGAAUAUCUUGGGGUUCCUCUUUUAAGGUUAACAAGGAUACUUAUUAGGGGAUCAUUGACACCAUGAACUCAAGUCUCAAUAAUUGGAAAGCCUCCUCGUUGUCCUUAGCAGAAAGAACUACCCUAGUGAGAUCUAUCAUUUCUACUAUUCUUAGUUAUACUAUGCAAACUGCUACUUUACCGAUAUCUACUUGUAAUAUUAUUGAUCGAAAAUGUAGGAACUUUAUACAAAGUACUUCAGAGUAGUCAAAGAAAAUGCAUCUCCUAAAUUGGGAAAAAGUGUCAAGACCAAAGGUUGCUGGUGGCUUGGGAAUUCAACAUGCUAGUUCUCUUAAUCGAGCUUUUAUGAUGAAGAUCAGUUGGAGCUAGUAGAAAUGAAAGAUAACUUGUGGGUUAGAGCUCUGAGAGCCAAGUACAGAUGUGAAAAUGACAUUAUCCCAGAUGUCAGAAGGAAAAUGAACGAGUCCAAUCUUUGAAAAGGAGUUUGUGCAGCUUGGAAUGAUGUGGAAAGGAACUCCACGUGGCAUAUCGGCAAUGGCGAAAAGAUCAACUUUCGAAAAAUAACUGGGUUCCUAAAGUUGGAAAGCUGAAAAAGCAUGUCAUCCAACCUCUAGACUCUAGUGAUUUGAAUGUAUCUCUAAAUGAUUUCUUAUCUA
Molecule: non-coding RNA, 2940 nt
Organism: Arachis ipaensis
Lineage: Eukaryota; Viridiplantae; Streptophyta; Magnoliopsida; Fabales; Fabaceae
Source: RefSeq, a predicted model, not a curated record